Anneissia japonica is the source of this 1660-nucleotide long non-coding RNA. RefSeq lists it as uncharacterized. The transcript is spliced from 3 exons. NCBI's taxonomy places the organism in Eukaryota, Metazoa, Echinodermata, Crinoidea, Comatulida, Comatulidae. The record is from RefSeq and is a predicted model, not a curated record.
UUUUAAUUUCUUUUGAAUAUAAAUUAAAUACUGUACUUAAUUGAUUUAUUAUUGCCCACUUGAAUUGUAUAGCCCUAGGUGCUGCAGUGUUCUUUAUGUAGAGCGCCAUAUUAAAAUGCUCAAUGUGUUUAGCAGUACUAUCCACUAUGGCGAAUUGUCUCUACUAAAGUUAAAAACUCAAUCAAGUGUGGUGGUGUAGGGAAGUAUUUUGUUUGUUUGAAAGCCUUACUGUGUCUGUGGCAGUUGAUUGAACAAACAGAAAAUUACCUGCUUUCGUCAAAGAAACCCAAAAGUGGCGCUGACAGCGCUCCAGUUGAAGCUGUCUCUGAGGAAAAUGUCAUCAACGAGGAAGCUGUCAUCAACGAGGAGGCUUAUAAUGAUGUGGAAGAAGUAGGAGGUUCUGACAAUGAGGAUUGAAUAGCAUUUUCCAUCUGAGUAAUCUAAUACUAAGUAGGGCUUUUGCUAUAUGGUACCCUCCUUUCCAAUAUGAUUCAAUAUCUAUUUUUGUUUGUCAGUGGGAGCUGUUAGGUUACCCAAUUACACUACACCUGCAAUGCAUCACCUUAGAAUCUAAGACAAAAGUUUUAAACUUGUGUACUUGCUUGUAGAAACCUGACAGUGAGUGCAUGAGUAGCAGAAACGGUCAGUCAAAAACAGGCUUAAUAUUAGGGCUUAACCGAUAAUCUGAUUGGACAGGCUAUAUAUGCAUAUGCCGAUAUGUAACCAAUUCACAAUACAACCUGAUUGUAAUGCGUAAACUCCCAAAACAUGGGCAAAAAAAUCUCAAAAAUCAAAGCAGAAUUAUAACAAAAUUUAAAAUAACACUGUCAUAGUAGUCUUUCUUUAAACUUUCCAGUGAACUUUUCAUCAUAGGUGAGGGCAGUCUGACAGUUAUAGAAAAUACAUGCAUGAAACUCAAUGUUUAUAUCCCUGACAGAGAGAAAGAUAGGAGCCUGGAAAUGGUGAGAACAUUUGGUGCCAAUUAACAACAAUUAAUAAUUUUAGGAAUAGUUUAUUAAUCAUUUCAGGUAGGUUUAUGAAUAUCCUUAAAACUUCUUUUAUUCUCUCAAAAACUACAAAAAAAAAAUUGAAUUCCUUUUUUUCUCUUGAUCUGCAAUCCUUUAAACUGACAAACCCUGUAAUUAGUUUCCUGAAACAAGCUGAAAUUAGGCAUUACUUAAGAAUGUAUUUGGCAAGCCAAUUAUGGGGUCUGUGUCAUCUUGAAGAUGAUUGCAAAUGAAGACUAUUUAAUGAAUUAAUUUUUUGUAUUUUUUUAAACCCUAAAAGAGAUUUUAUAAAUACAAUAAAACUGCCUGAAGAUAUUAAGUAUUUUACGAUUUAUACUUAUGCAAGUAGGAAAUAUAAUAUUCCUUAAAAAAAUGUAUAGAUGUUGAAAUUGGCACCAUUGUAAAACAUGACAACCCCCACCUGCACUAUAUAAACUAGCGAUUUUUUAUAACAAUAAAUUUUGUAGGAAUUGUUUGGUCUUCUUCCCGAUGUUUUUUUUUUUUUAGGGGAGGGGGUGUUUAUGUGAGGGGGUUACACACGUUAACAUUACGAUCAAUUUGUAUUGUGAAUCUGCACCUCAUCGGCACAAGCAUAUAAAUAUUGCCUGUCCGAUUAUUGAUUAAGCCCUAAUCUAGCUCAUUCUUUUAACAUA